Molecule: transfer RNA, 73 nt
Filed under: Elusimicrobiota bacterium
Lineage: Bacteria; Pseudomonadati; Elusimicrobiota
Description: tRNA-Ala
Rfam family: tRNA
About the family: Transfer RNA (tRNA) molecules are approximately 80 nucleotides in length. Their secondary structure includes four short double-helical elements and three loops (D, anti-codon, and T loops). Further hydrogen bonds mediate the characteristic L-shaped molecular structure. tRNAs have two regions of fundamental functional importance: the anti-codon, which is responsible for specific mRNA codon recognition, and the 3' end, to which the tRNAs corresponding amino acid is attached (by aminoacyl-tRNA synthetases). tRNAs cope with the degeneracy of the genetic code in two manners: having more than one tRNA (with a specific anti-codon) for a particular amino acid; and 'wobble' base-pairing, i.e. permitting non-standard base-pairing at the 3rd anti-codon position.
Source: RNAcentral
GGGCGUGUAGCUCAGCUGGGAGAGCGCCUCGUUCGCAACGAGGAGGCCGUCGGUUCAAUCCCGAUCACGUCCA